UACGUAGGGUGCAAGCGUUGUCCGGAUUUACUGGGCGUAAAGAGCGCGUAGGCGGAAGCUUAAGCGGUGCCUGAAAGCCCCCGGCUCAACCGGGGAGGGUGGUGCCGAACUGGGCUUCUUGAGGGCGAUAGAGGAGAGUGGAAUUCCGGGUGUAGCGGUGAAAUGCGUAGAGAUCCGGAGGAACACCAGUGGCGCAGGCGGCUCUCUGGGUCGGCCCUGACGCUGAGGCGCGAAAGCGUGGAGAGCGAACGGG
Molecule: ribosomal RNA, 253 nt
Filed under: uncultured bacterium
Lineage: Bacteria
Description: partial 16S ribosomal RNA
Rfam family: Bacterial small subunit ribosomal RNA
Source: RNAcentral